This 837-nucleotide ribosomal RNA is filed under the name uncultured archaeon. RNAcentral describes it as "bacterial SSU rRNA". It matches the Rfam family "Archaeal small subunit ribosomal RNA", at positions 21 to 859 of the family's 1478-position model. The record is from RNAcentral.
GGUUACUGCUAUCGGUGUUCGCCUAAGCCAUGCGAGUCAUAUGUUCGUAAGAACAUGGCGUACUGCUCAGUAACACGUGGAUAACCUGCCCUUGGGUCCGGCAUAACCCCGGGAAACUGGGGAUAAUUCCGGAUAACGCACAUAUGCUGGAAUGCUUUUUGCGUAAAAUGGAUUCGUCUGCCCAAGGAUGGGUCUGCGGCCUAUCAGGUAGUAGUGGGUGUAAUGUACCUACCAGCCUACGACGGGUACGGGUUGUGAGAGCAAGAGCCCGGAGAUGGAUUCUGAGACAUGAAUCCAGGCCCUACGGGGCGCAGCAGGCGCGAAAACUUUACAAUGCGGGAAACCGUGAUAAGGGGACACCGAGUGCCAGCAUCCUAUGCUGGCUGUCCGGGUGUGUAAAAUACACCUGUUAGCAAGGGCCGGGCAAGACCGGUGCCAGCCGCCGCGGUAACACCGGCGGCCCGAGUGGUGAUCGUGAUUAUUGGGUCUAAAGGGUCCGUAGCCGGUUUGGUCAGUCCUCCGGGAAAUCUGACAGCUCAACUGUUAGGCUAUCGGAGGAUACUGCCAGACUUGGAACCGGGAGAGGUAAGAGGUACUACAGGGGUAGGAGUGAAAUCUUGUAAUCCCUGUGGGACCACCUGUGGCGAAGGCGUCUUACCAGAACGGGUUCGACGGUGAGGGACGAAAGCUGGGGGCACGAACCGGAUUAGAUACCCGGGUAGUCCCAGCCGUAAACGAUGCUCGCUAGGUGUCAGGCAUGGCGCGACCGUGUCUGGUGCCGCAGGGAAGCCGUGAAGCGAGCCACCUGGGAAGUACGGCCGCAAGGCUGAAACUUAA